Molecule: long non-coding RNA, 1021 nt
Filed under: Mytilus galloprovincialis (Mediterranean mussel)
Lineage: Eukaryota; Metazoa; Mollusca; Bivalvia; Mytilida; Mytilidae
Source: RNAcentral
GUCGGAAAUAAACAGGAGUCAGAAAACUUUCUUAAAUGGAGUUCAAAAAUAAAGUAAUUUCAAAUGUAAAAUGAAAAAUAGAGUGUUCCUAGAGUCAGUCUUUUAAGCGUUGUGUUUUAAAGUAGUAAAAUUGCACCAAAAAGGGGUGACUAACUCUGGCGAACUGCACCGAAGUGGUGGCUAACUCUAGACUCGAGUAGUACUAAUUUUAGUUCCGGCGAGUAUUUGGAGGCCUAUGCAAGGCCGACUCCGAAUGAAUAUCAAAUGAUAUCCUAAACUUGUCAUUAAUCAGGAGAACUUUAACAUAAAAGGUACUGAAGAAAAGUUAAAUAAAUGAAUAUUCUUAAAACAUUAUAAAAACAUCAAAAGUUAAAUACUAAAACAGUUAAAUUAACAUUCUUUACUUUUAUCUUACUAUAUUUAAAUCAAAGGAGUAGGUCCAGUAAGACCCCUUUUUGGCCCCAAAAUAUAGCAGUUUUACAAAAUUGUUAAAAUGUUAACUUUUAGUUAUUCAUUGGACAGUAGAAUGCUUCUGCUACAUAAAUAUGAGCUGUUUUUGAUAAUACAAUGCACAUAUAUCGGGUACUAGCACCAUAAAGUCAUGCUAAAUAACUGAAAUCUUCACAAUUCUAGCAUUUUAGUUAAAUUUUGGACGGUUUUCGUGUAAAACGAAAGUGGCCGCAUUCGUGUUCAUCCUUAAUAUUAAAAUGUAAGUUGUAUUUUAUGAUAAUACAUAACAUAUAUAAAGGUUGAGGAUGAACACGGAUGCGGCCACUUUCGUUUUUGACAAAAAAACAUCUGAAAAUUGACAUUUUUCGGCAUAUUUGGUAGAUUUUUCACAUUUGAGCUUGAAUCGGAUCGUUUUUAAAGACUAAAUCAGUUAAAAUCUUUCACAUAAACUAAUUGAUUCAAAUGAAAUAGACACUUAAGUGUUUAAAAAGUGGUCAAAAUCUUUCGUCAGAUGAACCUGAAAUUUGAGGCCAAAAUUGGUCCUUACCGGACCUACUCCUUUAACUUAAAA